GCCCGAGUGGCGGAAUAGGCAGACGCAGGGGGCUUAAACCCCCCGGCUCCGAACAGGGGCAUGUGGGUUCGAGUCCCACCUCGGGCACGA
RNAcentral lists this transfer RNA (90 nucleotides) under Acidimicrobiaceae bacterium TMED130. RNAcentral's name for it is "tRNA-Leu". It matches the Rfam family "tRNA". From Rfam's summary of the family: Transfer RNA (tRNA) molecules are approximately 80 nucleotides in length. Their secondary structure includes four short double-helical elements and three loops (D, anti-codon, and T loops). Further hydrogen bonds mediate the characteristic L-shaped molecular structure. tRNAs have two regions of fundamental functional importance: the anti-codon, which is responsible for specific mRNA codon recognition, and the 3' end, to which the tRNAs corresponding amino acid is attached (by aminoacyl-tRNA synthetases). tRNAs cope with the degeneracy of the genetic code in two manners: having more than one tRNA (with a specific anti-codon) for a particular amino acid; and 'wobble' base-pairing, i.e. permitting non-standard base-pairing at the 3rd anti-codon position. The record is from RNAcentral. Lineage: Bacteria; Bacillati; Actinomycetota; Acidimicrobiia; Acidimicrobiales; Acidimicrobiaceae.